CAGAGCAGGUCCUGGUCGGUAGUCACUGCUGUGGUGUCUGGAGCCUCUUCUUCUCUCUGGUAUCAGCCAUUAGCAGAGCCCUGUGGCCCCCAGGAUACAUUACUACCGACCCCGUAUACAGAGGAUAUAUACAUAUAUAUAUAUAUAUAUAUAUAUAUAUAUAUACAGCCCUUGCUGGUUGUGGCCCCCAGUUCUGGGGACUGAGGAGAACAUUCGCACUGUGGCCCACGAUAGAAGGUUCCUGUAAGGUGUCAGGAUGUGGCGGUCUAUUUCUCCAUGGAGGAGUGGGAGUACAUAGAAGGACACAAGGAACUGUACAAGGAAGCCAUGAUGGAAGCUCCCCGACCUCUGACAUCACCAGAUGGAUCCAGGAGCAGAAAUCCCCCCGAGAGAUGUCCCCAUCCUCUGUAUUCC
Molecule: long non-coding RNA, 414 nt
Organism: Bufo gargarizans (Asiatic toad)
Lineage: Eukaryota; Metazoa; Chordata; Amphibia; Anura; Bufonidae
Exons: 3
Source: RefSeq, a predicted model, not a curated record